This 268-nucleotide ribosomal RNA is filed under the name uncultured bacterium. Its description in RNAcentral is "partial 16S ribosomal RNA". It matches the Rfam family "Bacterial small subunit ribosomal RNA", at positions 793 to 1055 of the family's 1533-position model. The record is from RNAcentral.
GUCCACGCCGUAAACGAUGAGUGCUAGACGUUGGGGGGCUUGCCUCUCAGUGUCGCAGCAAACGCAUUAAGCACUCCGCCUGGGGAGUACGGCCGCAAGGCUAAAACUCAAAGGAAUUGACGGGGGCCCCGCACAAGCGGUGGAGCAUGUGGUUUAAUUCGACGCAACGCGAAGAACCUUACCAGCUCUUGACAUGCUGAGUUUCGGGUUCGAGAGAUCGAACCCUUCGGUUCGGCCGGGCUCAGCACAGAUGCUGCAUGGCUGUCGU